GACGAACCGAGCGAACGUUGUUCGGAAUCAUUGGGUUUAAAGGGUCCGUAGGCGGUUUAGUAAGUCAGUGGUGAAAGCCCAUCGCUCAACGGUGGAACGGCCAUUGAUACUGCUAGACUUGAAUUAUUAGGAAGUAACUAGAAUAUGUAGUGUAGCGGUGAAAUGCUUAGAGAUUACAUGGAAUACCAAUUGCGAAGGCAGGUUACUACUAAUGGAUUGACGCUGAUGGACGAAAGCGUGGGUAGCGAACAGG
This 253-nucleotide ribosomal RNA is filed under the name uncultured bacterium. Its description in RNAcentral is "partial 16S ribosomal RNA". It matches the Rfam family "Bacterial small subunit ribosomal RNA", at positions 524 to 776 of the family's 1533-position model. The record is from RNAcentral.